UACGGAGGAUGCGAGCGUUAUCCGGAUUUAUUGGGUUUAAAGGGUGCGUAGGCGGACUGUCAAGUCAGCGGUAAAAUUGAGAGGCUCAACCUCUUCCCGCCGUUGAAACUGGUGGUCUUGAGUGGAUGAGAAGUACGCGGAAUGCGUGGUGUAGCGGUGAAAUGCAUAGAUAUCACGCAGAACUCCGAUUGCGAAGGCAGCGUACCGGCAUCCAACUGACGCUGAGGCACGAAAGCGUGGUGAUCAAACAGG
RNAcentral lists this ribosomal RNA (252 nucleotides) under uncultured bacterium. RNAcentral's name for it is "partial 16S ribosomal RNA". It matches the Rfam family "Bacterial small subunit ribosomal RNA", at positions 524 to 776 of the family's 1533-position model. The record is from RNAcentral.